UGGUCAGAUGAAGAAUAUAAAACCGCAACAAUAUGAUGGGAUUAUUCUCCUGUGAUUCCCUCAUUUUAAGUCUCUGAUGACA
Molecule: non-coding RNA, 82 nt
Organism: Zea mays
Lineage: Eukaryota; Viridiplantae; Streptophyta; Magnoliopsida; Poales; Poaceae
Source: Rfam